RNAcentral lists this ribosomal RNA (466 nucleotides) under uncultured bacterium. RNAcentral describes it as "partial 16S ribosomal RNA". It matches the Rfam family "Bacterial small subunit ribosomal RNA", at positions 34 to 507 of the family's 1533-position model. The record is from RNAcentral.
CGCCCGCUGGCGGCGUGCUUAACACAUGCAAGUCGAACGGAAAGGCCCUGCUUUUGUGGGGUGCUCGAGUGGCGAACGGGUGAGUAACACGUGAGUAACCUGCCCUUGACUUUGGGAUAACUUCAGGAAACUGGGGCUAAUACCGGAUAGGAGCUCCUGCUGCAUGGUGGGGGUUGGAAAGUUUCGGCGGUUGGGGAUGGACUCGCGGCUUAUCAGCUUGUUGGUGGGGUAGUGGCUUACCAAGGCUUUGACGGGUAGCCGGCCUGAGAGGGUGACCGGCCACAUUGGGACUGAGAUACGGCCCAGACUCCUACGGGAGGCAGCAGUGGGGAAUAUUGCACAAUGGGCGGAAGCCUGAUGCAGCAACGCCGCGUGCGGGAUGACGGCCUUCGGGUUGUAAACCGCUUUCGCCUGUGACGAAGCGUGAGUGACGGUAAUGGGUAAAGAAGCACCGGCUAACUACGUG